UGGGGAAUAUUGGGCAAUGGGCGAAAGCCUUACCCAGCAACGCCGCGUGAGGGAAGAAGGUUUUCGGAUUGUAAACCUCUGUCCUGGGGGACGAAGGAAGUGACGGUACCCCGGGAGGAAGCCCCGGCCAACUACGUGCCAGCAGCCGCGGUAAUACGUAGGGGGCGAGCGUUGUCCGGAAUUAUUGGGCGUAAAGGGCGCGUAGACGGCCGAGUAAGUUAUAGGUGAAAGCCCAUCUUUCAAGGAUGGAAUUGCCUGUAAUACUGCCUGGCUUGAGUGCAGGAGAGGGAAGCGGAAUUCCUAGUGUAGCGGUGAAAUGCGUAGAUAUUAGGAGGAGCACCAGUGGCGAAGGCGGCUUUCUGGACUGUAACUGACGUUGAGGCGCGAAAGCGUGGGGAGCAAACAGGAUUAGAUACC
This 417-nucleotide ribosomal RNA is filed under the name uncultured bacterium. Its description in RNAcentral is "bacterial SSU rRNA". It matches the Rfam family "Bacterial small subunit ribosomal RNA", at positions 355 to 786 of the family's 1533-position model. The record is from RNAcentral.